This 434-nucleotide long non-coding RNA is filed under the name Gossypium barbadense (sea-island cotton). RNAcentral's name for it is "long non-coding RNA (GBAR_LNC016900)". Lineage: Eukaryota; Viridiplantae; Streptophyta; Magnoliopsida; Malvales; Malvaceae. The record is from RNAcentral.
CGUCAAAGUUUUGGUAGAAUAAUAUAGCACGUCUUCUGUCUACUCCUAAUGUUUGUUGUAGUCUUCAAAAAUCUUGAAGUCAGCUAGCGCUCACCUCCUGACAGUUCACCUUCGACUUCGAUUCUUAACUUUGGAUGGUUGAUACUUCUUCUGAUCUUUGAAGUGCACCAUGAUAAGUUGAAAAAAAAAAGUAAAAAAAAAUCCAAAUAAAAAAGAAAAAAAAGAAAAGAAGUUUGAAUUGUGUGGCAUGGAGGCAACAAAUUUCCCCAUAAAAUCGACUUGUUGACAUCGUCAAUAUCAAGACAUGGCAAACUCAAAGACCUUAUUUAUAGUGAUUGGAAGCAAAAUCCCGACGGGAGUAAGAAUCAAAGUUGGUCCUUACCUUUCAUUGCUGAGACUCGAUAGGAAAUUGAUAAUUGACUGGCGUUAUGAAC